AAAAAGAUACCAAUUUUGAUUUAGUCCUUGGGAAGGUCCGGCCAAUUGGCCGUCAACCCUCCCCCUAUCUUCUCUUUAGUUAAAGCUCCUAUGAUAGUGUUUUUGCUGUUUUCUUUUUUUCUUUUUUCUUCGAUCUCUAUCGUUGAAGUUUUAGUACCCUCUUAGGAUGGGUUUUUGUUGGUGUUUAAGGGGGUUGCUCUGCAUGUUGCAGUAUUUCCUGUGGUUCACUAUGAAGCUUUAAAGAGCAGAUCGUCAACUGGCAGUCAGUGUGGUACCGAGCNNNUCAAGGCGAGUAUGCAAGGCCUAUGUUUGCCAAGCUUAUUCCCGGUUCAUCUGGCACUAGUCCUAGUCCCUGCUAUAUCCUAGUUUUGUUGCAAAUCUCCUCCAUUUUCCUCUUAGCUUUUAAACAUGGGAGAAUUAUGAAAUGAGUGGUGUACUUAAGCACUCCCUAUAAUGUUGUUUUCCUUUUCCUAUGCUUGAUUGAGUUAUGAAGAUCUCCUUUGGUGGUAGCAGUGAGUUGUUGAUGAAGAGGAGAUGAAGUCAGCUGAGGAUGAUGAUGGAAUCAGG
RNAcentral lists this unclassified non-coding RNA (567 nucleotides) under Hevea brasiliensis (rubber tree). Lineage: Eukaryota; Viridiplantae; Streptophyta; Magnoliopsida; Malpighiales; Euphorbiaceae. The record is from RNAcentral.